UUGUUGGUAAGGUAAAAGCUUACCAAGGCUUCGAUCAGUAGCUGGUCUGAGAGGACGGCCAGCCACACUGGGACUGAGACACGGCCCAGACUCCUACGGGAGGCAGCAGUGGAGAAUUUUGGACAAUGGGGGCAACCCUGAUCCAGCCAUGCCGCGUGAGUGAAGAAGGCCUUCGGGUUGUAAAGCUCUUUCAGCCGGAACGAAACGGUUACGGUUAAUACCCGUGACUACUGACGGUACCGGAAGAAGAAGCACCGGCUAACUACGUGCCAGCAGCCGCGGUAAUACGUAGGGUGCGAGCGUUAAUCGGAAUUACUGGGCGUAAAGCGUGCGCAGGUGGUUUUGUAAGUCAGAUGUGAAAGCCCCGGGCUCAACCUGGGAACUGCGUUUGAAACUACAAGACUAGAGUGUGGCAGAGGGGGGUGGAAUUCCGCGUGUAGCAGUGAAAUGCGUAGAGAUGUGGAGGAACACCGAUGGCGAAGGCAGCCCCCUGGGUCAACACUGACGCUCAGGCACGAAAGCAUGGGGAGCAAACAGGAUUAGAUACCCUGGUAGUCCAUGCCCUAAACGAUGUCAACUAGUUGUCGGGCCUUUACGGGCUUGGUAACGUAGCUAACGCGUGAAGUUGACCGCCUGGGGAGUACGAUCGCAAGAUUAAAACUCAAAUGAAUUGACGGGGACCCGCACAAGCGGUGGAUUAUGUGGAUUAAUUCGAUGCAACGCGAAAAACCUUACCUACCCUUGACAUGUAUCGAAGCCCGCAGAAAAGCGGGGGUGCCCGAAAGGGAACGAUAACACAGGUGCUGCAUGGCUGUCGUCAGCUCGUGUCGUGAGAUGUUGGGUUAAGUCCCGCAACGAGCGCAACCCUUGUCAUUAAUUGCCAUCAUUUAGUUGGGCACUUUAAUGAGACUGCCGG
RNAcentral lists this ribosomal RNA (916 nucleotides) under uncultured bacterium. RNAcentral describes it as "bacterial SSU rRNA". It matches the Rfam family "Bacterial small subunit ribosomal RNA", at positions 246 to 1155 of the family's 1533-position model. The record is from RNAcentral.